This 6179-nucleotide long non-coding RNA is filed under the name Musa acuminata (dwarf banana). Its description in RNAcentral is "long non-coding RNA (MACU_LNC001204)". Lineage: Eukaryota; Viridiplantae; Streptophyta; Magnoliopsida; Zingiberales; Musaceae. The record is from RNAcentral.
AAAGACAAUUCAAUGGCCUAGUUGAUGUCUACAGGAAGACACUGCAAUCUGAUGGCAUUGCUGGCCUUUACCGAGGAUUCAAUAUUUCAUGUGUUGGAAUUAUAGUUUACCGUGGUCUUUACUUUGGAAUGUACGACUCCUUGAAGCCUGUGGUUCUUACAGGGAAAUUACAGGUAUGUGGUUUAACUUGAAUGUACGACUCCUUGAAGCCGGUGGUUCUUACAGGGAAAUUACCGUGUUCUUGGAUCUGAUUCUGACUCAUUGCGUUUUUUACGAUUUCAGGAUAGUUUCUUUGCUAGUUUUGCUCUAGGUUGGGUGAUCACCAAUGGUGCUGGACUUGCGUCAUACCCUAUUGACACCGUUCGCAGAAGGAUGAUGAUGACCUCUGGAGAGGCUGUCAAGUACAAGAGCUCCCUGGAUGCCUUCUCCCAGAUCCUGAAGAAGGAGGGUGCCAAGUCUCUGUUCAAGGGUGCAGGUGCCAACAUUCUCCGUGCCGUUGCCGGUGCCGGUGUGCUCGCCGGGUAUGACAAGCUGCAGCUGAUUGUUUUCGGCAAGAAGUACGGUUCAGGUGGUGCUUGAGAUUGUUUUUGGCAAGAAGUACGGUUCGGUGGUGUUCCAGUGGCGCAUCCACCUAAUAAUCUGAUGGUGACGAUAACUUAUCUGAGAUUUAUUUCUUAAGCCUUUCCAUGCCUUUUUUUUUUCCAAGUUCUGUCGAAAUAAUUUAGAUUCCUCCAACAAAUAUUUGGAGCAAUAUUUUCGAGAACAUUUUAAUUGGACCAUUGUUUGCUAUUUAAUGCCUUAACAGCAAUGUUACCGGUGCUGGCGGCGACGGAUUUUGUUUGAUGUUUCAGAUUGUUGUGUUUUGCAUUUGGCAGAAAUAGAUUUAUGGGUAGAGACAUAUCUUGGAUUCAUUUCAAAGAAUUCUGACACUUGCAGAAGCUAAUAGUAACUUUGUAUCUUAUCAUGCAUCACGAUCAAGGUUUUGUAGCCCGAACCCGAGCGAACCAAAGCGGACCGCUCACAAACAGACCGGUCUUUACGGGCAGGCGUCAUAUUUAUGCGGCUGGAACUUCCAUUACCAAAGACCUUGCAAUUCGACUCCCUUUCACUCACUCGCUGCGGUCCACCUGCAACAGAAUCAAGAAGACGCCCAACUUCAUCCGGUCCUCCGUCUCGUCUUCCCCCGCCAUCUAUUCCCUCCUCUCCUCUCCUCCCCUCCCAUCUGCUUCCUCAAGGCCGCCUCCAACUCACCAUCACUCUCCGAACCCAGACGGUGACUAAGAUGCCACCUUCGGCCCACGUCGCUGCCCAUACCAUGCCGGCCGCCCAUCAGAUGCUCGAUGAAUUGUGCGACGUAUGUAUGCUGCAUUCUGCUCACCGUAAGUGCGUCCUAAUUAUCAUCGAGUCUUCGUACGGCUAGCUCACCUCAGUGCACCGUUGCAGAUUACGUUACGUUGGCGCAGAACGGAGAGCGUCGAGCGUCUCUAUGAAUCUUCAAGUGUUGGGAGGUUUCGGUGAGUCUUAUUUUCCCCAUCUUUCUCGAUCGAUCUCAUCUGCGCAUCUGUUGCGGUGGUAAACAAAAGGCACAGUUGAUGACCAAUUAAAACCGCUUACCUUAUUCUUUUAACUCGCUAUUGAGUGCCCAAUGAAAUUGCAGGUCGCAGCCAAAUGAUAUCACUCACCGACGACCUGCUCUUUGACCGGCCACGCCUCGGAGGAGCAUCGAUGGUUCGCAAGAUUCUGCAAUUACCAGCGCUCAUUUCUCAGCAUUGGAAAAGUAAGCAAGACAAUCUAACUCAUGCAAUUACACUGUUCAUAACUCUUCUCUUACCAAUGCAUUUCAUUUCAUAUCAUAUUCAAAGAUUUUAAUGGUGAGCAUGAUAACAAAUUCGAAUUCAACAUGAGUAAGCACGUAACAUGACUAGCUAAACAACAGCUUCUCAUAAUCCUAGCGAAUCCAAAUUAGCUGAGUUGCAAAUUUGUGCAUAAGAGUAGGCAACUUAUAGUUUAGACUAUACAAAAUAAUACGAGGCUAACCUAAUCAGAUGUCACUGCUCAUCAGGAUAAAUUUGAUGAGACUUCAGCAGAAACUCCCAACAGUAUAUCAUCAAUGGUUGUAAACAUUUAGGUAGAUUCAGAACAACAUAACAUAAAUGAGACAGACAAAAGCUCUCAACAUACCUAGAACACUUGGAUGUCACUUACCUUAGGAGUAGCACUGUUCAUCUGCAAUUUGGUAUUCAUAUUUACUCAAAAUAUUUCACUUACAUAAAGCAAAAGUUUGUCAGAGCCAUUUAAGUCAGAUGCUGAUUGUCUAAGACUGGAAACCAAGUAUUCAAGGUCAACUAUCAUCAUUUGGAUCACUACUGCUAAAUAAAUUACACAACAUCCUAACAAGAAACUAAUCAGACUAUCAUCAUCACAUACAGUCAGCAAGAGUACAUAUUACAAUAGGGUUCUUUUUCCAGCUCUCUGUAAGUGUUAGAUCAAGCUGAUGCAACUGAACCACAUACCUGCAAGCACAAGAACAGGAACAUAUUAUUUCUUUUCACAUUAGCCAUUUAAAUAUCACAGUGUUAACGUAGAAAAUGAGCAUAAGAAAUUUACUGAAGAACACCUUUGAAGCAACCGUAGGUUAAUUUAUGAACACGUCUACACCUGUAACUUAGCGUAUAAAGUAACUAUAGGGCAAGUUGAAAGAAAAGCAAUAAUGGUGAAGAUCAAUGCUUCUUUCCACAAUAACUUCUUUGAUUGAUCAAUGAACAUUGAGGAAAAAAAAAUCAUCAAAGUCCUGAUCAUGCUGUGGAAUUAGAUGAGUGGGUACAAUGCUUAUGCAAGACCAUCAUUAACAGCCUAUCUUGGCAGAAAAUGACACGAGAAAGGAGCAGUAAAUAUUCAAGUCAUAAAGCAUGAUAUUUCCAGUUCAGUCAAUAGCAAAACAACCGGUGCCAAGCAAGCUGGAGGCAAAAAAAAGAUGUAAACUUAUAGCAAUUGCAUACAGCAAAUAUAGUUUCCAGCCUAAAUAAGCAGAGGUGAGAUAUCUUAACAUUACAAAUUGCUUUAGACAUAAUGAAGAGUAGUGCAGCAUAAACAGGUUCGCUGCACCCUUUGAACGGCAAUUUGGGUCACACUCACAUGUAUGGAUUGUGAUGGUGCUCUAUGGUUAUGUUCGACAAAAAAUGAAAGAAGAGGAGCAUGCAAUAGAUGUCCUACACCCGGAGAGGAGUUGAUGAGGGGCAGGAAAAGGAGAUGAACAUAACUGUUUGCCGCUGCUAACCACCCAUCACCGACCAUGCACUGUCCAAUGUUUGUCAUGUGCCAUCCAAGGCAAAUUGCACUCAAUAUAUAUACGAAUAUGUGUUCAACAACAUUUUAGGGAGGGGGAGAGAAAGAGGGGCAUGACUUGAAUGCAAUGAGACAGGAUUUAAGCUCUGAGGCAUGAGUCUAACCAGAAAGAGACAAGAAUAAAAGGAAAAUAAAGAGAAAAUAAUUAUGUAAAAUAGAUUAUAUAAUAAAAAUACAAAUACAAUUAUAUAAACGACCCAUGCAGACCCCAACCAGAAACGGCCCCCGCAACUGAGAGUAUCCCUUACUACUCGUCGGGAAAUUUUCUGUACUAUGUCCUUGUAUCAUACCAACUACAUAUCAACUCAUGACCCAGGUAACCAUGGAAAGCAUAUGCUGAGAAAUAUUUUUGAGAAACUAGUAGUACGUUGAUGAUAUAGAAUUAUGAAAUGAUUUUAUGAGCUCCAAUGUAACUAAGUGUUUUAAUUAGAAUACCAACAUUUGAACAUCUUGAUAAAUCUUGAAUACAAAGAAUCAAGGUCUUCUACAUAAUGACAAACAUACAGUAUCAUAAAAUAAUUUACAACUAGGCAAGGACUAUUCAAUCUCCAAUCUUGAAGUUAUACACAUGCAUCUUAGUUACAUACUUUUAAGGUCAUUUUUUUUUAGAAAUUAUUGAAGUGAAAAGUAUUUCAUGCAGAAGAGAUCGAAGUCAAAUAUGGAUCCAAGUGAGCAACAUUACCAAAGGUUUGCAAUAACUUACAAUAUAUGCCCACUAAAGUUCAGUGUAUUUCAGCAUGAAAUAAUGAUGUUUUAACCUCUAAUUAUACUAUUUUGCAAUAUAAAAGAACUUUAUUACAUAUGAUUAAAGCAUCAUUAGAAUAAAGAUUCAACCAAUUUUUAUGUUUUGUAAUGCUAACCUUGCAAAUGAAACAUCAAUGAUUGUAGCUAGCACAGGAAGGCUGAGAUUUGAGGAUCACAAAACACAAAUAUGUUUUGUAAGUAUUUAUAGUUAAUGUUGCCAUGUUAUUCAUCUGAUAGACAGUAAAGUUACAUCCUGCAUAUUAAAUACUAGUCAAUUACCAGCAUCAGGCAAGCCCUCAAUAUCCAAAAGAGUUUCACCAUGGAAAAGCUUGAAUUGAGAAGGCUCCAUGAAAAUGGUAGUUAAACAGAAUAACAAAUUCCAAAUAUAACCUCAAAUCAGCAAAAUAAUGAACAUAGUUCUAGAGCCAGGUGACACAUCAAAAAAGGACACAAGGAAAAUGGUGAAGGCGUAGACCAUCUAACCAGUUACUGGAUAGUAUUACGACUUCUUUAAUAAAUGGUUUGCCAACAAGUCAGAUAUCCCUGAGACAGGAAGGCUCUCGCAACCAAAUAGUUCUUGAAGCUUGGGGUCACAGAGAAUAGAUGAAUUUGCAGAAUCCUACAAUAAGCCAAAGCAGAAAAACUCAGAUUAAGUAGUGUUUCUAAUCAAGAGAUGUAUCAGAUAAGAGCAGAUACAAUAGAAAUAAACAAGUAGAAAUUGUGGUCACAUAAAAUAUCAGCAGCUGUAAACAUUAAAGCAAUGUGAGAAUCUUGUCAAAUCAAUGUUAUUCAGAAAUAGAGUUGUAUCCCAUGCUUAGUCACAUUUUGUCCUCACCGGUUAUUGCUCAGAAAAUGAAAUGCAGUUGUCACAUAGAACCUCUGGUUAGCUUAGAUGUUAAUCAACCAAACAAAAUUUUGAUGAACAACCUUUAAAUUUCAAACUAAAACACUAGCAAAUAUUCUCAAAUCCAAUAAAUAUCUUAUAUUACAUACUCAUCAUGAUUGGACCCUGCAAGGCCUUACUCUGAUCUAGGUGUAUUAACUGACAACACUACAAAUCCCCACCCCCACCUCAUUUUCCCCUAUUCAAUUGAUAUUCACCUGAAAUUAACCUGUUCCAGCCAACCCUGGAUGAUUCAAUCAAGUCCAACUGGAUCUUGUCCAUUGUCGAUCAGUUUGGUAGAGAUCAGGGGAGAAAGGAGACGGUGAGCCAGGUCACACGAUUUUACAAGUAUUUUCGAGUGAAUAUACUUUGAAAGGGAAAUGGGGAUGGAAGAGUGCAUCUUAAAAUCAAAUGGCUACAGUAGAUCACAAAGUGAGAAGGCUGAACACUAUAUUUAGAACUUAAAAUGAACUGUCAUGCACUUCGUAGAACAAAAAUUUUGCAAACAACACCUAGAAUUCCUCAUAACAAACAUAUCAUUAAUAGUCUUCAUUUUUUUAGAUUUACAGACUAUAUACAUUUUCUUCCUUUUUUUUUGUAAAUCUCAAUUUUUCAUUCAAGAUCUCUUUUUCACAAUGGCCCCUGAUCUGUUCUUACUGGUCUCAGUCCCACUAACCUCAAUGUUCAUUCAAAAAGUUCUGUUUUUGGUCACAAUUAAAAUGUCACUUCUGAAAUAGAAGAUAUAACACAGCUACAGGCAUCCAUAUCUCCAUGAGAAUUUAAUUAGAAGCUGAAUGAAUUCCCAAGCUCAUCUUCAUUGAAUAGCAUGGGAAGAUAUGCUUACGAUGUUAAUGUCUAAUCUUUGAAGAUGUUACAAGAGAUGAAAGUACAGAUAGGAAGACCCUGGGUAUAGGAAGGACUCCUGAUCUUUGUCUGAUCUUCCAAUCUUCCAAGGAAAGGAUUCCAUAGCUCACUAAAUGGAUUGGUUAAACUAUUCAUCCAUCCUUGGAGUCAAAAUACUUGUCCAUUUGGUCCUGAAGGAUCAGACAACUAGAGCAUGAUGACAGACCGAACAAAUGAUCCAGAUAACCUAAGCCAUCCAAUCCUUAUAUAGGGGAUUGGUUCCACCCAAGCCAUCUUUUAACCCAUCACUAAAUUUUGGAAAUGAAGCACAGCACAUAUGGACACUAAUAACUGAGCAGUUCAC